Molecule: ribosomal RNA, 854 nt
Filed under: uncultured Gammaproteobacteria bacterium
Lineage: Bacteria; Pseudomonadati; Pseudomonadota; Gammaproteobacteria
Description: bacterial SSU rRNA
Rfam family: Bacterial small subunit ribosomal RNA
Source: RNAcentral
GAAACGACUGCUAAUACCGCAUAAUGUAUUUUGAUGGCAUCAUCGAGAUACCAAAGAUUUUAUCGCUGAAAGAUGGGCUCACGUCUGAUUAGCUAGUUGGUGAGGGAACGGCUCACCAAGGCUGCGAUCAGUAGCCGGACUGAGAGGUCGAUCAGCCACAUUGGGACUGAGACACGGCCCAAACUCCUACGGGAGGCAGCAGUGGGGAAUAUUGGACAAUGGGCGCAAGCCUGAUCCAGCCAUGCCGCGUGAGUGAUGAAGGCCCUAGGGUUGUAAAGCUCUUUUGUGCGGGAAGAUAAUGACUGUACCGCAAGAAUAAGCCCCGGCUAACUUCGUGCCAGCAGCCGCGGUAAUACGAAGGGGGCUAGCGUUGCUCGGAAUCACUGGGCGUAAAGGGUGCGUAGGCGGAUGGACAAGUCAGAGGUGAAAUCCCAGGGCUCAACCUUGGAACUGCCUUUGAAACUUUCCAUCUUGAGGUCGAGAGAGGUGAGUGGAAUUCCGAGUGUAGCGGGUGAAAUGCGUAGAUAUCGGGAGGAACACCAGUGGCGAAGGCGACUUCCUGGCACAAUACUGACGCNUCAUGUGCGAAAGCUAGGGUAGCGAACGGGAUUAGAUACCCCGGUAGUCCUAGCCGUAAACGAUGGAUACUAGGUGUGGGUGUCGCAGGGCAUCCGUGCCGCAGCUAACGCGUUAAGUAAUUNCCCGCCUGGGGAACUUUUACCCGGGUCGCNAAGACUGAAACUCAAAGGAAUUGACGGGGGCCCGCACAAGCGGUGGAGCACGUGGUUUAAUUCGAUGCAAACCGAAGAACCUUACCUGGGUUUGACAUGCAGGUGGUAGAGAGAAGAGAUUUG